Molecule: long non-coding RNA, 310 nt
Filed under: Gossypium raimondii (Peruvian cotton)
Lineage: Eukaryota; Viridiplantae; Streptophyta; Magnoliopsida; Malvales; Malvaceae
Description: long non-coding RNA (GRAI_LNC006503)
Source: RNAcentral
GAAAGUGAAAGGAAAUUAAGGGACUGUGGGUGAAGUAACAAGUGGUGAAAGUGAGUGGAAAAGGGUGAUGAUAGUUUUAUGUUUGGGCAGGGUGAAGGAGGGGUGUGGUGUGGUGUCCGAGUGGACAUGUUUUUUUUGUUUUUGUAUUUUGGUAAUAUUGGAAGCUGAUUUGAAAGGCUCCAUCGUUUUCCAUCUUUCAACUGCAAUUUGGGACAUUUCUUUUGACAUGGAUGGAAGUUUUGAUGUACCCCACCACUCAUUGCCUCCAUGACUUUUUUUUUUCUUUUUUGAAAUUCUAAGUAUUUUUUUU